UCCGGCUUAUCACCGGCGGUUUCUUUAGAGUGCCCAACUGAAUGAUGGCAACUAAAGACGAGGGUUGCGCUCGUUGCGGGACUUAACCCAACAUCUCACGACACGAGCUGACGACAGCCAUGCAGCACCUGUGCAUCGGCCAGCCUAACUGAAGGAGUCCAUCUCUGGACCCCAAACCGAGCAUGUCAAACGCUGGUAAGGUUCUGCGCGUUGCGUCGAAUUAAACCACAUGCUCCACCGCUUGUGCAGGCCCCCGUCAAUUUCUUUGAGUUUUAAUCUUGCGACCGUACUCCCCAGGCGGAUAACUUAAUGCGUUAGCUGCGCCACCGAAGCCCUGUGGGCCCCGACAGCUAGUUAUCAUCGUUUACGGCGUGGACUAC
RNAcentral lists this unclassified non-coding RNA (380 nucleotides) under uncultured Sphingomonadaceae bacterium. RNAcentral describes it as "contains 16S-23S intergenic spacer region". The record is from RNAcentral. Lineage: Bacteria; Pseudomonadati; Pseudomonadota; Alphaproteobacteria; Sphingomonadales; Sphingomonadaceae.